Molecule: ribosomal RNA, 580 nt
Filed under: Staurothele frustulenta
Lineage: Eukaryota; Fungi; Ascomycota; Eurotiomycetes; Verrucariales; Verrucariaceae
Description: eukaryotic LSU rRNA
Rfam family: 5.8S ribosomal RNA (bases 210-363)
Source: RNAcentral
UUCCGUAGGUGAACCUGCGGAAGGAUCAUUACCGAGUUAGGGUCCUCUGGGCCCGACCUCCCACCCUUGCCUAUCUUACCACGUUGCUUCGGCGGGCCCGUCCCUGAUCGGACCGCCGGGGAUGUUCGUCCCCGGCCCGCGCCCGUCGAGAGCCCCCCCACAAACCCUUUCAAACAGUGACGUCUGAGUCCUAGAUGAAAUAGGUAUAAAACUUUCAACAACGGAUCUCUUGGUUCUGGCAUCGAUGAAGAACGCAGCGAAAUGCGAUAAGUAAUGCGAAUUGCAGAAUUCCGUGAGUCAUCGAAUCUUUGAACGCACAUUGCGCCCUUUGGCAUUCCGAAGGGCAUGCCUGUUCGAGCGUCAUUAUCAACCCUCAAGCCCGGCUUGGCCGUUGGGUCCCGCACCGUGGAGACCGCGGUGGGCCCGAAAGAUAAUGGCAGAGCCCGUGUGGACCUCUGGAUGCAGCGAGCUUCUGGCACGCGUCCGUCCGGUCCUCCCGGUUCGGUCUCACCCGAAUUUCUUUCUCAGGUUGACCUCGGAUCAGGUAGGGAUACCCGCUGAACUUAAGCAUAUCAAUAAG